CCUACGGGAGACAGCAGUGGGGGAUAUUGCACAAUGGGGGGAACCCUGAUGCAGCGACGCCGCGUGGGUGAAGGAGUGCUUCGGCAUGUAAAGCCCUAUCGGCAGGGAAGAAGCAAGACGGUACCUGACUAAGAAGCCCCGGCUAACUACGUGCCAGCAGCCGUGGCAAUACGUAGGGGGCGAGCGUUAUCCGGAAACACUGGGGUGAAAGGGAGCGUAGACGGCCAUGCAAGCCAGGGGGGAAAGCCCGGGGCCCAACCCCGGGACUGCCCUUGGGACUGUGCGGCUAGAGUGCGGGAGGGGCAGGCGGAAUUCCUGGUGAAGCGGUGAAAUGCGUAGAUAUCAGGAGGAACACCAGCGGCGAAGGCGGCCUGCUGGACCGCGACUGACGUUGAGGCUCGAAAGCGUGGGGAGCGAACAGGAUUAGAUACCCGUGUAGUC
This 441-nucleotide ribosomal RNA is filed under the name uncultured bacterium. RNAcentral describes it as "partial 16S ribosomal RNA". It matches the Rfam family "Bacterial small subunit ribosomal RNA", at positions 338 to 795 of the family's 1533-position model. The record is from RNAcentral.